GUCUCCCACACACUCUCUCUCUCUCAGACGCCGAAAACCUCCUCACUGUCUCAUCUCUACCACUACCCACAAACCCACAACCAUAGCCGCCACCACCACCACCUCCCAAGCCCCAACCAUAGCCACCACGACCACCCAAAAAUCGAGCCUAGUUAGGUCCAAAAACAAAUGGGUCAGGUCUAGCCCGACCCAUUUGUCUUAUCGUUUCUAACCCUAACGGUUCACGCCCCUAAUCUAGAACCUUCCCUCGUUUUGCUAUCUCAUCCGAGCUCUCUUGACAGAAACCCAUGGCUUGAGCGACCUGAUCUCAUCACCUCAAACCGGCAUUGCCACCAUAGGAGGCGGCUUGCUCCUCAGCAAAAAGCCUUAUCGAGAUUCCUAUUUCUUUUUUCUGUUUAUUGUUAUCGAAACCCUAAUUUCUUGUUUGGUACACCGCAGGACCGAAGGCACCGAUUGACGCUUCGCGAGACAUUCAUCGCUCUGUCUAUCUCUCACUCGCGGCUAGGGAUUUAGAGGAAAUUCAAGGGCUGUUGAGUGAGGUCGAUGGCACUGUAAAGCCUUCACUUUCUCAGAGAUUGCAAAGCCAGUGUCUCUGCAAACAGCAAGUUCUAAAUACCCAUCAACGAUUCUAGUGUCUCUGCUAAAAAGGUAAAG
Long non-coding RNA from Quercus lobata, 654 nucleotides. RefSeq lists it as uncharacterized. The transcript has 3 exons. NCBI's taxonomy places the organism in Eukaryota, Viridiplantae, Streptophyta, Magnoliopsida, Fagales, Fagaceae. The record is from RefSeq and is a predicted model, not a curated record.